Molecule: ribosomal RNA, 253 nt
Filed under: uncultured bacterium
Lineage: Bacteria
Description: partial 16S ribosomal RNA
Rfam family: Bacterial small subunit ribosomal RNA
Source: RNAcentral
UACGUAGGGUGCGAGAGUUGUCCGGAAUUACUGGGCGUAAAGCGUGCGUAGGCGGUUGGUUAAGUCUGUCGUGAAAGCCCUGGGCUCAACCUGGGAAUGGCGAUGGAUACUGGCCAGCUAGAGUGUGAUAGAGGAUGGCGGAAUUCCCGGUGUAGCGGUGAAAUGCGUAGAGAUCGGGAGGAACAUCCGUGGCGAAGGCGGCCAUCUGGAUCAACACUGACGCUGAGGCACGAAAGCGUGGGGAGCAAACAGG